Molecule: long non-coding RNA, 949 nt
Organism: Equus caballus (horse)
Lineage: Eukaryota; Metazoa; Chordata; Mammalia; Perissodactyla; Equidae
Source: Ensembl
CACCAUUUAAACAGGAAACAAAGAGGAAGACCUGUAAGUGACAUAUCUUUACAUCUCUGAGAGAGAGCAGCUUUUAGUUUUUUUUAUUAGUUCAAAAGAAAAUAUCAGGAAUGCUGGUCAAACCAGCUGCCUUUUGAGGAAACAAAGAACCAGAGUGCAGGAACAAUAGGAUGGCAGUAAAGAAGGAAAAGUCAGAGGGUUAGAUAUUUGUCUCCCAACAUGAAUUGCGUGAAGUUUCUCAAAACUUACAUUAUAACAUCCAGCCCCAUCUUCUACAUGAAACCUGUCCCAACCUAACCAAUCCACAUUCAUCUCUGAAUUCUUGUGGGACUUAUGGACUACGCUGCAUCACUCAGCCUUGGAGAACUUUUCCUUCCACAUCAAAUAGUAAAGUUCAGUAAAGACAACUGUAACAUUUUCUAUUUCCAAGUUACACUUCAUACCAUAUGCUAUGAGCAUACCGUGGCAGCAACACUCUGUUUCUAAAGACAGUAGGACAAAGUCUACGCAAUGGAGCUGCAGAGAUGAAGAAGGUACACCCACCCUACCAAAGCCUUCAAAGAAGAAAAACUACUACUGAUUGAAAUGGAUGAGAGACACGGUCAAAAGGUAUGUUCUAUGUCACCUCAAAUACAUUACUCAACAAAUUCGGAGUUGAAAUCACUGCCAGGACUCAAAUCCAACUAUAAUCAGUGGCUACAUCUGGAAAGGCUGCAUGGAGAUGUCCUUUAAGAUGAAGAUACCUGGAUUCUACCUCCAACUUUUUUCGGAAUCUGUAGUUUCAGAGUGUCUACAUUUCCACAGCUCUCCCAGAGAACUCCAUUUGGAACAUGACUCGGUGGCAAAAGAGUUAGGAAGGAGAGGCUCUGUCUUUCACUGGCAGGAUUAAAUGAGACAACAAUGUACAAACAAGGUGCAUAAUAAAUGUUGACUGAAUGAAUGAACGAGC